Molecule: ribosomal RNA, 3068 nt
Filed under: Salmonella enterica subsp. enterica serovar Enteritidis str. EC20110353
Lineage: Bacteria; Pseudomonadati; Pseudomonadota; Gammaproteobacteria; Enterobacterales; Enterobacteriaceae
Description: bacterial LSU rRNA
Rfam family: Bacterial large subunit ribosomal RNA
Source: RNAcentral
GGGUUGUGAGGUUAAGCGACUAAGCGUACACGGUGGAUGCCCUGGCAGUCAGAGGCGAUGAAGGGCGUGCUAAUCUGCGAUAAGCGCCGGUAAGGUGAUAUGAACCGUUAUAACCGGCGAUACCCGAAUGGGGAAACCCAGUGUGACUCGUCACACUAUCAUUAACUGAAUCCAUAGGUUAAUGAGGCGAACCGGGGGAACGUGAAACAUCUAAGUACCCCGAGGAAAAGAAAUUCAACCGAGAUUCCCCCAGUAGCGGCGAGCGAACGGGGAGGAGCCCAGAGCCUGAAUCAGCAUGUGUGUUAGUGGAAGCGUCUGGAAAGGCGCGCGAUACAGGGUGACAGCCCCGUACACAAAAGCGCAUGUGCUGUGAGCUCGAUGAGUAGGGCGGGACACGUGGUAUCCUGUCUGAAUAUGGGGGGACCAUCCUCCAAGGCUAAAUACUCCUGACUGACCGAUAGUGAACCAGUACCGUGAGGGAAAGGCGAAAAGAACCCCGGCGAGGGGAGUGAAAAAGAACCUGAAACCGUGUACGUACAAGCAGUGGGAGCCCCACCACCAAAGCAUUUGCUGUACCGCGUUGACGGAGCGAAGCGACGUCAAACCGAUAAAACAGCAGUGUAAAGUGAGCCGCAGGGCGCUUUGCGCGACAGCGCAAAGGCAGGCGGUUUCGCGUAGCGAAAGCGAAUGCUUUGGGGUGGGGUGACUGCGUACCUUUUGUAUAAUGGGUCAGCGACUUAUAUUCUGUAGCAAGGUUAACCGAAUAGGGGAGCCGGAGGGAAACCGAGUCUUAAUUGGGCGUUAAGUUGCAGGGUAUAGACCCGAAACCCGGUGAUCUAGCCAUGGGCAGGUUGAAGGUUGGGUAACACUAACUGGAGGACCGAACCGACUAAUGUUGAAAAAUUAGCGGAUGACCUGUGGCUGGGGGUGAAAGGCCAAUCAAACCGGGAGAUAGCUGGUUCUCCCCGAAAGCUAUUUAGGUAGCGCCUCGUGAAUUCAUCUCCGGGGGUAGAGCACUGUUUCGGCUAGGGGGCCAUCCCGGCUUACCAACCCGAUGCAAACUGCGAAUACCGGAGAAUGUUAUCACGGGAGACACACGGCGGGUGCUAACGUCCGUCGUGAAGAGGGAAACAACCCAGACCGCCAGCUAAGGUCCCAAAGUCAUGGUUAAGUGGGAAACGAUGUGGGAAGGCCCAGACAGCCAGGAUGUUGGCUUAGAAGCAGCCAUCAUUUAAAGAAAGCGUAAUAGCUCACUGGUCGAGUCGGCCUGCGCGGAAGAUGUAACGGGGCUAAACCAUGCACCGAAGCUGCGGCAGCGACACUGUGUGUUGUUGGGUAGGGGAGCGUUCUGUAAGCCUGUGAAGGUGUGUCGUGAGGCAUGCUGGAGGUAUCAGAAGUGCGAAUGCUGACAUAAGUAACGAUAAAGCGGGUGAAAAGCCCGCUCGCCGGAAGACCAAGGGUUCCUGUCCAACGUUAAUCGGGGCAGGGUGAGUCGACCCCUAAGGCGAGGCCGAAAGGCGUAGUCGAUGGGAAACGGGUUAAUAUUCCCGUACUUGGUGUUACUGCGAAGGGGGGACGGAGAAGGCUAUGUUGGCCGGGCGACGGUUGUCCCGGUUUAAGCGUGUAGGUGUGUGUUCCAGGUAAAUCCGGUUCACUUUAACACUGAGGCGUGACGACGAGGCACUACGGUGCUGAAGCAACAAAUGCCCUGCUUCCAGGAAAAGCCUCUAAGCAUCAGGUAACAUCAAAUCGUACCCCAAACCGACACAGGUGGUCAGGUAGAGAAUACCAAGGCGCUUGAGAGAACUCGGGUGAAGGAACUAGGCAAAAUGGUGCCGUAACUUCGGGAGAAGGCACGCUGACACGUAGGUGAAGUGAUUUACUCAUGGAGCUGAAGUCAGUCGAAGAUACCAGCUGGCUGCAACUGUUUAUUAAAAACACAGCACUGUGCAAACACGAAAGUGGACGUAUACGGUGUGACGCCUGCCCGGUGCCGGAAGGUUAAUUGAUGGGGUCAGCGCAAGCGAAGCUCCUGAUCGAAGCCCCGGUAAACGGCGGCCGUAACUAUAACGGUCCUAAGGUAGCGAAAUUCCUUGUCGGGUAAGUUCCGACCUGCACGAAUGGCGUAAUGAUGGCCAGGCUGUCUCCACCCGAGACUCAGUGAAAUUGAACUCGCUGUGAAGAUGCAGUGUACCCGCGGCAAGACGGAAAGACCCCGUGAACCUUUACUAUAGCUUGACACUGAACAUUGAGCCUUGAUGUGUAGGAUAGGUGGGAGGCUUUGAAGUGUGGACGCCAGUCUGCAUGGAGCCGACCUUGAAAUACCACCCUUUAAUGUUUGAUGUUCUAACGUGGACCCGUUACCCGGGUUGCGGACAGUGUCUGGUGGGUAGUUUGACUGGGGCGGUCUCCUCCUAAAGAGUAACGGAGGAGCACGAAGGUUGGCUAAUCCUGGUCGGACAUCAGGAGGUUAGUGCAAUGGCAUAAGCCAGCUUGACUGCGAGCGUGACGGCGCGAGCAGGUGCGAAAGCAGGUCAUAGUGAUCCGGUGGUUCUGAAUGGAAGGGCCAUCGCUCAACGGAUAAAAGGUACUCCGGGGAUAACAGGCUGAUACCGCCCAAGAGUUCAUAUCGACGGCGGUGUUUGGCACCUCGAUGUCGGCUCAUCACAUCCUGGGGCUGAAGUAGGUCCCAAGGGUAUGGCUGUUCGCCAUUUAAAGUGGUACGCGAGCUGGGUUUAGAACGUCGUGAGACAGUUCGGUCCCUAUCUGCCGUGGGCGCUGGAGAACUGAGGGGGGCUGCUCCUAGUACGAGAGGACCGGAGUGGACGCAUCACUGGUGUUCGGGUUGUCAUGCCAAUGGCACUGCCCGGUAGCUAAAUGCGGAAGAGAUAAGUGCUGAAAGCAUCUAAGCACGAAACUUGCCCCGAGAUGAGUUCUCCCUGAGACUUUAGAGUCUCCUGAAGGAACGUUGAAGACGACGACGUUGAUAGGCCGGGUGUGUAAGCGCAGCGAUGCGUUGAGCUAACCGGUACUAAUGAACCGUGAGGCUUAACCUUACAACGCCGAAG